This 101-nucleotide small RNA is filed under the name Salmonella enterica. RNAcentral describes it as "partial RtT sRNA". It matches the Rfam family "RtT RNA", at positions 1 to 100 of the family's 130-position model. Rfam says of the family: This family represents a bacterial cis-regulatory element known as RtT RNA. The exact function of RtT is unknown although it is thought that it may be involved in changing the cellular response in relation to amino acid starvation. Lineage: Bacteria; Pseudomonadati; Pseudomonadota; Gammaproteobacteria; Enterobacterales; Enterobacteriaceae. The record is from RNAcentral.
UAUUUCUCCAUACGGGGAAGGAUGAGAAGCUUCGACCAAGGUUCGAUUCGAGCGCAGCGAGAAAGCGUUGACGCAGGCAACGACCCGAAGGGUGAGGAGCG